ACCGGAGCAUGUCUGGAAAGCGUGGGCGCAGAGGGUGACACCCCCGUACGGGUAACGUGCGGAUGCGGAUGCCGGCACCUGAGUAGGGCGGGGCACGUGGAAUCCUGUCCGAAUCAGCGGGGACCAUCCCGCAAGGCUGAAGACUGCCGAAGACCGAUAGUGUACCAGUACCGUGAGGGAAAGGUGGGAAGCACCCCGGGAGGGGAGUGAAAUAGAACCUGAAACCGUGCGCUUGCAAGCGGUCGGAGCACCAUUAUGGUGUGACGGCGUGCCUUUUGCAUAAUGAGCCUACGAGUUGCCUCACGCCGGCGAGGCUAAGCCAUUCAGUGGCGGAGCCGCAGCGAGAGCGAGUCUGAACAGGGCGUUCAGUCGGCGUGAGCAGACGCGAAACCUAGUGAUCUACCCUUGUCCAGGGUGAAGGGGCCGUAACAGGCUCUGGAGGCCCGAACCAGUUUCCGUUGAAAAGGGCUUGGAUGAGGCGAGGGUAGGAGUGAAAGGCCAAUCAAACUGGGAGAUAGCUCGUACUCCCCGAAAUGUCUUUAGGGACAGCCUCGUCAGUUUCCCGCGUGAGGUAGAGCUACCGAUUGGAAGCGAGGGCUUCGCCGCCUAUCAAUUCCAGACGAACUCCGAAUGCGCGCGGUGAUCUAUGACGGGAGUGAGUCGUCGGGUGCUAAUAUCCGGCGGCGAGAGGGUAAGAGCCCAGACCUCCGGCCAAGGCCCCCAAGAACGGUCUAAGUUGAGACAGAACGAAGUGGCACCGCAGAGACAGCCAGGAUGUUAGCUUGGAAGCAGCUAUUCAUUCAAAGAGUGCGUAACAGCUCACUGGUCGAGCGGAGCCGCGUGGAUGAUGAUCGGGCAUCAAGACCGUCGCCGAAGCCGAGGACGACGCGCCUUAGCGCGCGCCGUGGUAGGGGAGCAUUCCGGUCGGCGCCGAAGGCGCGGCGCGAGCCGUGCUGGAGCGUCCGGAAAAGAAAAUGUAGGCAUGAGUAACGACAAGAGAUGUGUGAACAUCUCCGCCGAAAACCCAAGGUUUCCGGGGCCACGCUAAACGGCCCCGGGUCAGCCGGGAGCUAAGGGUAAGCCGAACGGUGAUCCCGAUGCCGAUGCGGUCAACAUUCCGCAGCCGGCGCGCCAGGCGCACACGCGACCGAGGAGUGACACUGCCGCGGGGAGACGGAAUUCCCCGUUGAAGGCCGUAGGGAGACCGAAAGCCGACAGUACGGCGAGCCUUCGGGCGAGCCGACAGAGCAGGUAACCAUACUCGCGAGAAAAGCGUGUGCGCGCGAAGCGUCGCGCCGCCCGUACCGUAAACCGACACAGGUGGGUGGGGAGAGAAUCCUUAGGCGCUCGAGUGAAUCACGGCCAAGGAACUAGGCAAAUUGACCCCGUAACUUCGGGAUAAGGGGUCCCGCGGCGACGCGGGCGCAGAGAAAUGGCCCAGGCGACUGUUUACCAAAAACAUAUGGCUAUGCGAAAUCGAUAAGAUGACGAAUAUGGCCUGACACCUGCCCGGUGCCGGAAGGUUAAGAGGGGGGGUCACCGAAAGGGAAGCCCUGAAUUGAAGCCCCGGUAAACGGCGGCCGUAACUAUAACGGUCCUAAGGUAGCGAAAUUCCUUGUCGGGUAAGUUCCGACCUGCACGAAUGGUGUAACGAUCUGGGCGCUGUCUCAGCCGUGAGCUCGGUGAAAUUGUAGUGGCGGUGAAGAUGCCGCCUACCCGCAACGGGACGAAAAGACCCCGUGAACCUUUACUAUAGCUUAGCGCUGAUCUUGGACGUCGGAUGUGUAGCAUAGGUGGGAGGCUUCGAGGCGCGGCCGCCAGGUCGCGAUUAGCCGCCAAGUGAAAUACCACCCUUCCGUCGUCUGGGGUCUAACUUCGCGAGAAGGACACCGCUUGGUGGGUAGUUUGACUGGGGUGGUCGCCUCCAAAAGAGUAACGGAGGCUUCCCAAGGUCCGCUCAGGACGAAUGGCAACCGUCCGCAGAGUGCAGUGGCAGAAGCGGGCUUGACUGGGAGACAAACAGGUCGAGCAGGUACGAAAGUAGGGCAAAGUGAUCCGGCGGUUCCUCAUGGGAGGGCCGUCGCUCAUAGGACAAAAGGUACUCCGGGGAUAACAGGCUGAUCGCUCCCAAGAGCUCAAAUCGACGGAGCGGUUUGGCACCUCGAUGUCGGCUCGUCACAUCCUGGGGCUGGAGCAGGUUCCAAGGGUUCGGCUGUUCGCCGAUUAAAGUGGCACGCGAGCUGGGUUCAGAACGU
RNAcentral lists this ribosomal RNA (2255 nucleotides) under human gut metagenome. Its description in RNAcentral is "bacterial LSU rRNA". It matches the Rfam family "Bacterial large subunit ribosomal RNA", at positions 331 to 2619 of the family's 2925-position model. The record is from RNAcentral.